Molecule: ribosomal RNA, 523 nt
Filed under: uncultured bacterium
Lineage: Bacteria
Description: bacterial SSU rRNA
Rfam family: Bacterial small subunit ribosomal RNA
Source: RNAcentral
AGAGUUUGAUUCUGGCUCAGGAUGAACGCUAGCUACAGGCUUAACACGUGCAAGUCGAGGGGCAGCAUUGGGAUAGCUUGCUAUUCCAGAUGGCGACCGGCGCACGGGUGAGUAACGCGUAUCCAACCUUCCCCUUAGUAGAGGAUAGCCCGGCGAAAGUCGGAUUAAUACUCUAUGUUGUGUUUUUGAGGACAUCUGACGAACACCAAAGGUUCACCGCUAAGGGAUGGGGAUGCGUCUGAUUAGCUUGUUGGCGGGGUAACGGCCCACCAAGGCUACGAUCAGUAGGGGUUCUGAGAGGAAGGUCCCCCACAUUGGUACUGAGACACGGACCAAACUCCUACGGGAGGCAGCAGUGAGGAAUAUUGGUCAAUGGGCGAGAGCCUGAACCAGCCAAAGUAGCGUGCAGGAGGACUGCCCUAUGGGUUGUAAACUGCUUUUAUAGGGGAAUAAAGUGAGGUACGUGUACCUUUUUGUAUGUACCCUAUGAAUAAGGACCGGCUAAUUCCGUGCCAGCCGCCGC